AGUACGGAAUAAAAGAAAUUCGAUAACAUCUCUUUGACGUUGUUCACAAAAGUACAAACAUACUGACUUUCGACAUCAGUUUCAUACCAAUCACAAAAUCGAUAUCUCACUAAAUUGACGUAACAUUGUUUGCCGUUGCUCCACUGUAUCGCAAUUGUAUGUGUACAGCAAACGUCGGCGUAGACGGUCGCUAAAGUUCAAAGUAAUUUCGGGACGCGCGGCAAAACAUUUAGCACAGAUUCCUUAGCGUCCAUUGACGAUCCCGGAAACACGUCCGUGGCAUUGUUUGAGUUUCGAUUUGAACGCGGUCCAAUAUGUACCGUGUGGUACAUACUGGUCUAUAUUAGCUUCUCAUUUGCCUGGUACACGCGAUGUUACCGAGAAACCGGCCAAUUAAAUUAACUAAUAAUACGCGUCGUAAUCACCUUACGUCGCGCGCCGCGCCGUUCGAUCGAUUACCAAUUAUAUACCAGUGAUGCGUCGCGAUAAAUUAACACGGGCCAAUUUAAGUAUCGAGAAUCGUGUAAAAAUAUAAUUAAUGAACAUUGUCAAAAGAAUUAUCAUAAUUAAUUUCGGAUAUUGGCUAACCGCGUGAUUAAAUUUUACAAUCUGUGCAAAAGUAACUUCACCAGAUAUUCGUAAUCUCCGAAUACAAUCGAAGGGGACAACUUUUUAUUGAGAAUCGGAAUUACCCUCCUCUCGUCAUGCGUAUAACUUUCCAAAGUUACUAAUUUAGUGAGAUUUCUGCUUCACUCCGCUGCACACUGCGCCCACUCAGACCGCAUGCUGGAAAAUCUGAAAGUAGCAUCCUCGUUUUAAAUCUGAUUGCGUGGAACAUUCAGGUAGGAUGAGCCAGAUUACACCGCGACGUAAGACCCGAGUUAUUACUCCCGAUUUUAUAUCGCGUAGAAUUUUCAGAUAAAAUGAAAAAGUCAUAAGACGCAUUAGGGGAGGGAGUUAACGGUGACACGGUAACGUCUACCUCGGAUAUCCGGCUAGGUGUGCUUCGCGACCUCGUCGUUCGCGAGUCUCAACUUGAACCCAAGCCAAUUUGCGGGCCGCUGUUUUGUCCUUCAGAACACAGCGAAUCGCGUCGUAAGGACGAUCGUUACGGCGAUUCACGAUAAAAUCCUUAUUCCACGGCUCACCGCCGUCGUCGUUAAGAAAGAGAGAGAGAGAGAGAGAGAGAGAAGCGAAAUCGCUUUCUUAAAUAUUAUUUGCCCCGAAGCGUUCUAUUAUUCCACGCGAGACAGUGUGAGCAUCGUCCACGUAUUUUAGGAAUGCACUUAGACAGAAUUAAGAUAUAUUGUUAUUAAGCAUAAAACUACUUAUCAUCUACGGAAUGCACUUACAGAGGAUUAGAGAUAUACUCCUAAUGUAUAUUUUCCAUUAUUCUGUUUUUAAGAAAUACUUUACAUUGUUCUCCUCUGAGUGUAUGGAAUUUCCCUUUUUUUCUAGUAAACAUAAUACGUCAUUUUACCCAUAUAAAUAGGGCACCCUUCGACGACAGAGUCAGUUCUCUCAGUUAAUAGUUCACAGUACGUAGUACUCAGAAUCACGUAGUUAUAAGUAAUAAUUGUAAAAAUUUGUGAAAUAAAGUUUUUUUUAUAAGAAGAAAAA
Molecule: long non-coding RNA, 1620 nt
Filed under: Monomorium pharaonis (pharaoh ant)
Lineage: Eukaryota; Metazoa; Arthropoda; Insecta; Hymenoptera; Formicidae
Description: uncharacterized LOC118645249
Source: RNAcentral